GACGAACGCUGGCGGCGUGCUUAACACAUGCAAGUCGAACGGAAAGGCCCUGCUUUUGUGGGGUGCUCGAGUGGCGAACGGGUGAGUAACACGUGAGUAACCUGCCCUUGACUUUGGGAUAACUUCAGGAAACUGGGGCUAAUACCGGAUAGGAGCUCCUGCUGCAUGGUGGGGGUUGGAAAGUUUCGGCGGUUGGGGAUGGACUCGCGGCUUAUCAGCUUGUUGGUGGGGUAGUGGCUUACCAAGGCUUUGACGGGUAGCCGGCCUGAGAGGGUGACCGGCCACAUUGGGACUGAGAUGCGGCCCAGACUCCUACGGGAGGCAGCAGUGGGGAUUAUUGCACAAUGGGCGGAAGCCUGAUGCAGCAACGCCGCGUGCGGGAUGACGGCCUUCGGGUUGUAACCCGCUUUCGCCUGUGACGAAGCGUGAGUGACGGUAAUGGGUAAAGAAGCACCGGCUAACUACGUG
Molecule: ribosomal RNA, 468 nt
Filed under: uncultured bacterium
Lineage: Bacteria
Description: partial 16S ribosomal RNA
Rfam family: Bacterial small subunit ribosomal RNA
Source: RNAcentral